CGCUGUCUGAACAAAAGAUCCACAUUUUAGCUUUGUGUUACAGAUGACAAAUACAAUUAGUGUAAUAUACAAAAAUGUAUGUCAUUAUUAAUAAAGUCAUUUUAUUUUACAAGGUGAGGUGGCGACUUGUCCAGGGUGUACCCCGCUUUCCGCCCGUGUGCAGCUAAAAUAGGCUCCAGCAGUCCCCGCGACCCCAUAAGGGACAAGUGGUAAAAAAUGGAUGGAUGGAUAGAAUAUGCCCUGGCUAGUAAAAAAAAAAGCUGCUGUGAUAAAGUGUGAUUGGGUCAUGUGUUGGUCACAUGCUCUCACCUCUUUGUUGCUCGUAACAGCUGGAUCCAAAAUCCACCACCUUGAUGUUUCCUGCUCCUUUCUGAGACAAAAGGAUGUUUUCCUGUUAAAGGAAGAAAAGUACAUGUUUAUUUUGCACCAUCCUCUUGUAAUACCAUAAUGCUCCACAAGAUGGCUCCCGCUAUUGUUGAAGUCAAUGAAAAAAAUUGGUAGACAAAUUCAUGUCUAAUGCAUGCAUCUGCAGGCACCUGAGGAGAGCGUGGGUGAAGCGACGGAUGAGAGCCACACUGAAGCCCUGGAAGUUGUUCUUUUUGAUGAGCUCGUAUAAGUUGACCCUGACGAAAGAAAUGACAACGUUUUUCUUCUUCAAACCCUUAUAGCCACUUCACAUUGGAAUACAUCUUAAUGGGGUUCCCUCCGCUUGGAAAUAAUACGCGACCAGUGUCCUCCUGCUGUUGUGAUGAGCUUGUAACUGGAGCCUUCGCACCGUGAAGCAAGAAGGGGCAUUUGAGCACCUGCCCGAAGGAGCCCUUUCCAAUCACCUCCAGCACUUCAAAUCUGUAGGCAAUGUGGUCGUGCAGCACCUGGAACAAAGCAAAGAAAAGAACCGUGCAAGUUUCUGCUGACCUGGACAAUAAUAUUGAGAGGGUAAAAGACCUAAAGUCAACAAUGGAGGAUCAUCCCAGCAGGUGUGCAAUUAUAAGGGCAGCUUUGACUAAUUGUGAUCCUCUCUGCACGGUCACUUGGUCACAAGGUCAACACAUGGAGCAAAGGUAAGAGUGUACAACAAAUCAAAAAUAGAAAUUGACUUUUAAUACAUGCAUUAUUAUAAAAUUGGCAUCUAUGCAUUGCAAACGUUUAUAUUACUAUCUUUGUGGAAGAAACAUGUAAAGAUCAGCAGGAAUACUCUGGGAAACUUCUCUGUUAUCCAAAUAUAGACUUACUGGUCACAACAUUAGGUACACAUGCAGCCCUCCUGCCCUUCAUAUGACAUUUCUUCGCAAAUGUAUUCCUAGCCCCUUCCUGCUCUGAUACUGAUGAGACUAUAAUGGUACAUUUUCCCAUAUAUUCCCAUUGUUCCCGGUGCGGGCUAGAGAA
Nerophis lumbriciformis (worm pipefish) is the source of this 1386-nucleotide long non-coding RNA. RefSeq lists it as uncharacterized. The record is from RefSeq and is a predicted model, not a curated record. NCBI's taxonomy places the organism in Eukaryota, Metazoa, Chordata, Actinopteri, Syngnathiformes, Syngnathidae.